UGGAAAACCAAUACAUUUCAGGUAGUUUCCUUGAAAAGUCUUAGUGUAAGAUCUGGAAUACAUGCGUCACGCAGUUGAAGUUGUGCCAGGUUGCAGAUAACUUCAUAAAAGCUGGUGGCUUAUUUGUGGUGGUGGAGGUGCAGGUUUUGGA
Papaver somniferum (opium poppy) is the source of this 151-nucleotide long non-coding RNA. RefSeq lists it as uncharacterized. NCBI's taxonomy places the organism in Eukaryota, Viridiplantae, Streptophyta, Magnoliopsida, Ranunculales, Papaveraceae. The transcript is spliced from 3 exons. The record is from RefSeq and is a predicted model, not a curated record.